CAAUAGUGUAUACUAGUGUUGUUGCGGUUAAAACGUUCGUAGUCGAAUUAGAUGCUUACAGACCUUCACAGAAGGGUCUACUGCUACUGCCUCUAGUCACUGAGAAGUUGCUUAUUUCGAUGUGAACUAAGAGAGCAAGUUACCAUGACAAAAUUUUGGUGUUCAUAGCAAGCACAGAGUGCCCUGAAUACAACAGCAUGGGAUAACACUGAGAGGACUUCGACCUGUUAUGCGUCGGCAGCCAGGAUUGAAGGAAUGAUUAACAGGAGCAGUCGGGGGUAGUCGUAUUCCAUUGCUAGAGGUGAAAUUCUUUGACCAAUGGAGGACGAACAACAGCGAAAGCAUCUACCAAGUAUGUUUCCAUUGA
RNAcentral lists this ribosomal RNA (367 nucleotides) under uncultured eukaryote. Its description in RNAcentral is "partial 18S ribosomal RNA". It matches the Rfam family "Eukaryotic small subunit ribosomal RNA", at positions 592 to 976 of the family's 1831-position model. The record is from RNAcentral.